RNAcentral lists this unclassified non-coding RNA (364 nucleotides) under fungal sp. RNAcentral describes it as "partial internal transcribed spacer region". The stretch from base 1 to 46 matches the Rfam family "Eukaryotic small subunit ribosomal RNA", at positions 1786 to 1831 of the family's 1831-position model. The record is from RNAcentral. Lineage: Eukaryota; Fungi.
AAGUCGUAACAAGGUUUCCGUAGGUGAACCUGCGGAAGGAUCAUUAACACGUAUCCAACGUUAAACAACCCUGUGAACUUUCAGACGCUCUUGUAGCCCAGGAGGAACAGCAAUCCCGGUAAAUCAAUGGCGGAAAGUUUUUGAUUCGGGACCUCUGUCCAAAAGGUAUCAAGUUACAAUCGAGCUAGGAGCAGUGGCAUGGUUUCCCUAAGCAGUGCAGAAGGAUCCACUGAGUAAGGAUAACGCAUCACGGUUGCCAGAGGUCGAUCACCGGCCGGCAGACAUGUCACAGGGCUUUAUGCCCCCGCGGAAACGCCGGGCAAAAAAAUCUGAACAACUGUUAACAAUGGAUAUCUUGGUUCUC